GAAUCUGUAGUUUAUGUGAAAACUUAUCGUUUACACCGAUAUAAAAGAUGGUUGUUAUCUCGGAUUUA
This 68-nucleotide transfer RNA is filed under the name Stylochus fafai. RNAcentral's name for it is "tRNA-Val". Lineage: Eukaryota; Metazoa; Platyhelminthes; Polycladida; Stylochidae. The record is from RNAcentral.